RNAcentral lists this ribosomal RNA (285 nucleotides) under Triticum aestivum (bread wheat). Its description in RNAcentral is "partial small subunit ribosomal RNA". The record is from RNAcentral. Lineage: Eukaryota; Viridiplantae; Streptophyta; Magnoliopsida; Poales; Poaceae.
AUGGUUUCUGCCGAGGGACGUCAAGUUGAUGAAAAUGUCAAGAAGAUCAUUGAAUUGAAAUAUAAGGUUCGCUCAGGAAGUUACAAUAAUUUUGUGGUGAUCAACCAGAAAAGCAUUGGUCUUCCAUCCAUCAAUCUCCUAGCUAGAGUAGGGGUUCUGCAAAUUUUAUUCAUAGAUCAGGAAAUUCUAAUCUGUGACUUGGUAAAUCUCAGUAGUAUAUGCAAGCUGAUGGUUGUUGAUAAUGAACAACCACAUCUCAAAGGUGCUUGCUGUAUUAAUAUGUAG